AGCAGCCGCGGUAAUUCCAGCUCCAAUAGCGUAUAUUAAAGUUGUUGCAGUUAAAAGCUCGUAGUUGAAUUUCGGGGUCAGUAGAUUGGUCGUGCCACUGGUAUGUACUGGUCUUACUGGCUCCUCCUUCCUGAUGAACCGUAAUGCCAUUAAUUUGGUGUUGCGGGGAGACUGGACUGUUACUUUGAAAAAUUAGAGUGUUAAAGCAGGCUAACGCUUGAAUACAUUAGCAUGGAAUAAUGAAAUAGGACGUUCGAUCUUAUUUUGUUGGUUUCUAAGAUUGACGUAAUGAUUAAUAGGGAUAGUUGGGGGCAUUAGUAUUCAAUUGUCAGAGGUGAAAUUCUUGGAUUUAUUGAAGACUAACUACUGCGAAAAGCAUUUGCCAAGGAUGUUUUCAUUAAUCAAGAACGAAAGUUAGGGGAUCGAAGACGAUCAGAUACCGUCGUAGUCUUAACCAUAAAACUAUGCCGACUAGGGAUCGGAUGAUGUUAAUUUUUUAAUGACUCAUUCGGCGCCUUAU
RNAcentral lists this ribosomal RNA (520 nucleotides) under uncultured Glomus. RNAcentral describes it as "SSU rRNA". It matches the Rfam family "Eukaryotic small subunit ribosomal RNA", at positions 569 to 1091 of the family's 1831-position model. The record is from RNAcentral. Lineage: Eukaryota; Fungi; Glomeromycota; Glomeromycetes; Glomerales; Glomeraceae.